Molecule: non-coding RNA, 453 nt
Organism: Peromyscus maniculatus bairdii (prairie deer mouse)
Lineage: Eukaryota; Metazoa; Chordata; Mammalia; Rodentia; Cricetidae
Source: RefSeq, a predicted model, not a curated record
AUGGUUGCUGGGGCAAUGGCAGUCCUUCUUCCCCCCACCCCAUCCCUAGCAGUAGAACAACUGUUAAGUUGUUUGUGCUCUGGGUAUGGAGUAGAAAGAUAGCUCAGCCUAUAAAGGCUAAGGCUCAUAACAAAAGGACAAGUUGACAGCGAUCCCGUGAAUAACUCCUCACUGGUGACUGUGUAGGAAAUCUAACAUGAUUUCAGUCAUGCCUCCAUAUUGACAUUGCCAUGGAGGUUUAUCUUCAACAGGACACUGGCUGUUUCCUGAACAUGUCAGCUUACUUCCUCUUCCUGUUCUCUGCACAUGGACACUUCACUUUUUCACAAUUUCGCUGGCAGCGUUCAGGAUCUGUUGGGAACAAAGUCAUGGGCUCAGAAUGUACUCGUCGCCAACGGGGUCCAUAUGGUCAUCCCAGGGUACGAGGACGGCAGGAGCAGAGCAGGCGAGAAG